AGACCCGAAACCCGGUGAUCUAGCCAUGGGCAGGUUGAAGGUUGGGUAACACUAACUGGAGGACCGAACCGACUAAUGUUGAAAAAUUAGCGGAUGACCUGUGGCUGGGGGUGAAAGGCCAAUCAAACCGGGAGAUAGCUGGUUCUCCCCGAAAGCUAUUUAGGUAGCGCCUCGUGAAUUCAUCUCCGGGGGUAGAGCACUGUUUCGGCUAGGGGGCCAUCCCGGCUUACCAACCCGAUGCAAACUGCGAAUACCGGAGAAUGUUAUCACGGGAGACACACGGCGGGUGCUAACGUCCGUCGUGAAGAGGGAAACAACCCAGACCGCCAGCUAAGGUCCCAAAGUCAUGGUUAAGUGGGAAACGAUGUGGGAAGGCCCAGACAGCCAGGAUGUUGGCUUAGAAGCAGCCAUCAUUUAAAGAAAGCGUAAUAGCUCACUGGUCGAGUCGGCCUGCGCGGAAGAUGUAACGGGGCUAAACCAUGCACCGAAGCUGCGGCAGCGACGCUGAUGCGUUGUUGGGUAGGGGAGCGUUCUGUAAGCCUGUGAAGGUGGCCUGUGAGGGUUGCUGGAGGUAUCAGAAGUGCGAAUGCUGACAUAAGUAACGAUAAAGCGGGUGAAAAGCCCGCUCGCCGGAAGACCAAGGGUUCCUGUCCAACGUUAAUCGGGGCAGGGUGAGUCGACCCCUAAGGCGAGGCCGAAAGGCGUAGUCGAUGGGAAACGGGUUAAUAUUCCCGUACUUGGUGUUACUGCGAAGGGGGGACGGAGAAGGCUAUGUUGGCCGGGCGACGGUUGUCCCGGUUUAAGCGUGUAGGUGUGUGUUCCAGGUAAAUCCGGUUCACUUUAACACUGAGGCGUGACGACGAGGCACUACGGUGCUGAAGCAACAAAUGCCCUGCUUCCAGGAAAAGCCUCUAAGCAUCAGGUAACAUCAAAU
This 934-nucleotide ribosomal RNA is filed under the name Salmonella enterica. Its description in RNAcentral is "partial 23S ribosomal RNA". It matches the Rfam family "Bacterial large subunit ribosomal RNA", at positions 711 to 1642 of the family's 2925-position model. The record is from RNAcentral. Lineage: Bacteria; Pseudomonadati; Pseudomonadota; Gammaproteobacteria; Enterobacterales; Enterobacteriaceae.